GGCCCCGCCGGGAGGGGAGGAGCGGCGGCGGCGGCAGCAUGGCGGAGGCGGAGGCGCCGCGGGUGGGCGCGUGGCUGCCGGUGCUGGUGGAGCAGGUGGUGAACGACACGCUGGUGGUGACGCUGCGCUGCGGAGAGCGCCGCUUCGCCGGCGUGCUGCUGGACUGCAGCAAGAAGUCCGGGCUGUUCUGUCUGCCCUCCUCCUUCCCAAAGCCCGAGGACCCUCCUGCCGCUGCCUGCGCCGUUCCUGCUGAUCCCACGCGCGGUGAGAUGCAGCCGCAGCCCGGGGACGACCAGGUGCCGCCGCUGCUGCCCGCGCCGCCCGGCGUUGUGCCGCCAUACCCGCCCUACUUCGAGGGAGCGCCGUUCCCGCGCCCGCUGUGGCUGCGGCACACCUACAGCCAGUGGGUUCCGCAGCCGCCGCCGCGGGCCAUCAAGAGGACGCGGCGACGUUUGUCGCGGAACAGAGACCCGGGACGCCUGAUCAUGAGCACCAUCAGGCUGCGGCCCAGGCAGGUGCUCUGCGAGAAGUGUAAAAAUACCCUGAACCCCGAGGACGAGAACGCGGCGGGGCAGAACGCUAAAACCAGGAGGAAGCUGGGCGUUCAGGACAAGGAACAGAAAAAGCACAGCGACUCUGAGUGCCUGGAGAAAAGGAACAAAAGAGAGAAGAGAGAGGAUGACAAGUUUGCCGGGGAGCUGGUGCAUCGCACGCCAGUUAUCAAAAUAUCCUACAGCACGCCGCAAGGGAAAGGCGAGGUGGUGAAGAUCCCCUCCCGGGUGCACGGCUCAGUGAAACCGUUCUGUCCUGAACAGCUGCUGCAGAACAGAGAGGAGGACCGGGAGGAGGUCGGAGAUGCUGAGCAAUGUCAAGAAACCAAGGGCUUCACGGACAAGGCAGUGGGCAGCCAGCUUGCUUCCAUCCCCAAACUGAAGCUGACGCGGCCAGUGCAUCCCAGUGCUGAUGUCCCGCCUCCAAAGAUCCGGCUGAAGCCCCAUCGCAUCAACGACGGCCAGAGCGUUUCUAUCUAUAAGGCAGAACUUAUCGAUGAGAUAAACGUCCUUCAGAACAGCAGGGAGACGAAUCCCAGUGCGUUUUACGCCAGUGAAUCGGCAGACAGAGGUUUGGCCGAGAUCUCUUCGGGGAGUUCGGGUGAAGAUGACGACUUUAAAAGGUUUCCCCAAGGUAAAGACGGACACGAAAACUUGGCUUUCCUUAUGAAUUACCGGAAGAGAAAAGCGGAUUCUUCUAGUUUGUCAGUGUGUAGUAAUGACAGUCUAGACGAAUCCAAGUCUUCUAGUUCGGAGGUAACAUCACCAGAAAUGUGUGACUUUUUACCUGGUGAUGAUGCGUCUGUCUCUUCAUCUUCAAAAGAUGAGCGUAAAAUUGUGCCGCCCUUGACGGUUAGGCUGCAUACCCAAAGCGUGUCUAAAUGCGUCACUGAAGACGGAAGGACUGUGGCAGUGGGGGAUAUUGUGUGGGGUAAAAUUCAUGGAUUUCCGUGGUGGCCGGCACGCGUUCUUGACAUAAACCUUAGCCAGAAGGAAAAUGGGGAGCCUUCAUGGCGGGAAGCCAAAGUGUCGUGGUUUGGUUCUCCAACGACUUCAUUCUUAUCUGUUUCAAAACUUUCUCCUUUCUCUGAAUUUUUCAAACUGAGAUUUAAUCGCAAGAAGAAAGGGAUGUAUCGCAAAGCCAUCACAGAGGCUGCCAAGGCGGUGGAGCACCUGACUCCAGAAAUAAGAGAUCUCUUAACACAGUUUGAAACAUAACUGUGCCACCAGUAUCAGGUGAGGCACUGCUGUGCUGAGGGCUGGGGCAGCUGUAUGCCAGUGCGAGGAGGAGAAGGAGGAGGAGAGAAAGAGGAGAAGGAGGAGGAGAGAAAGAGGAACCUCCGUGACACAGAUAAGCCCCAACGUCCCUGCCCAGCCCAUGUGCCCUUCCCUGCUCCCACACCCCCUUGCCCAAGGCCAGGGCCAGUUUCAUUCCAUCCCAGUGGUGCUGCAGGAUCCCAUCACAGCCCUUGCCUACCGCAGCUGUGCCUGACCCAACGCAGCAAUGCCCGUGUCGCAGGAGGCUGCUGCCAGGCACUGCCAGCAGCCACACCACCCAGGCACAGCAGGCAGUGCCCUGCCAAACCGUGGCCUUGCAGCCCCUGCCCUGUCCUCCAUCAGCACAGCUCAGUGUGCCCAGGCUGGCUGUGCUGCUACCGUGAUUGCUGCAAUGGGCAUCGAGGCGGGUGGGCUGCACUGUGGACAGUGGGCGCUGGCUUUGCAAUGCUGGACAUUUGCCUGGUGAACCCACCUGCUCUAAUUCUCUACACCUACUUCAUGUUUCUGUAGUUUCCGUAGCUUUUUUUUUUUUUUUUUUCACUGAAAGACUGAAUUUAUCUAAAUAUGUUUUUUGAGCCCCAGCAAUGCAUUUGCCAUGGUUCAUAGUAUCACUGCUCAGUGUCAGUUCCUCUUCAGUACAAAGGAAUCCCUCUGCAUACCUUUUCUGUGUUGGCUUUCCCCGCUCUGCAGAACUAAAGCCCUUGGAGAAUGUCAGAGAACGGCCUUGCUGCGUUGGAGACUGGCACAGCACGAGGCUCUGCACACGGAGGCCAGGUGGGCGAUGUGGCUCCUGGGUGCAGGGAGGAAGCAGUAACCGAUCUGCAAAGCUGCGUCCUGGGCAUCGUGCCGCCUCACAGCAUGACACGGCGAUGCAUGGCCACCAACAUCCGCUGGGUGGCCCUGCAGCUGGCAGCGUUACAUCAGACACCUCCAGAACAUCUUCUUUGGAAGCUGGUGUUAAGUGAUGUUGGAAGCAUCUCCUCUGCAGGAGCAGCAUUUUCAUCCUUCGCUGUGCAGCACGUUGUGAGUCUUUGUGAGCCCAUGCAGGCACAGGUGAAUGGGAUCCCAGUUAUACCACAAAUAAUGCAAAAGUUGUAAAUGGUCCAUGAUAUGAGCGUGCUGCACCACGCUGCUCAGGAAGGUCUGCCAGGAAGAUUUGCUUAAGCAGAGCUGUAAUUUGUUGAAAUAACACUGCCCAUCAGAGACCAAUAUAGCAGGUUAACUGUAGCAGGAAGACUGGGAUUCUGGCUGGCUGUGGAGCACGAACAGCCUGCCCACAGGUGGAAGCAGCCAGCAUGUUCCUCAGUGCUUCUGCCAAACUAAAUGAGCAGCAGUGGUGAGAAACACGAUCUCCUCGGGGGAGGAGGCAGGAGAUGUGCUCCCGUUGCUCAGCAGAUUUGAAAGAGCAGCAGAGAUCAAUGCUGGCUCGUCUGUCACAGUGUACAUCAUUGCUUUCCCAUGUUUCAAGGGCCUGGAGCUUUUUUGAGAGCUCUGCAUAGGAUGAAAAUUUUCCCCAUAGAAACAACUCAACCUCACAUAAAACUAUCCAGCAUUGUCACGUUGGGUUUGGGACUCACAGAACCUGAGUUCAAGCGUUUUGCCAACAACCCCCUCUGCAGUUUUAGGUUGCACACUUAUGCUGUUACCUGUUGCUCACCUAUGGAGGUGCAGAAGGUGUGCCUCCAGCAGCAGGGAGGGUUGCUGCAUGCAGUGGCUGUGAGCUGGGGGGUCGGGAUGCAUUCACAGUGCACUUCUGUAGCACGGUGCCAAAGCCCAACAUCUGCUUCCCAGUGAUUUUUUCCAUUCGCAAUUGAGUUAUUUCUCAUCUGUGACUGCAGAACUCGGGUGUUUACCAGCACCACGUGCUCAAAAAGACAUGGAUCUACAUUUUUCAGAUUCUUUCUGUGAAAUAUGACCCUGUUUCCAGACAGGAUGCAGUGUUGGCAGAAGUGCAGAUUUCUCACAUGAGGAACAGAGCGUGCAGGUUUCAGGGCUGCCGUGCCGCACUGUGGAUCUGAAGCACCACACACCAAGAGAGCUUUGCAUGCUGCUGGGGAACAGGAACCACAGAGCCCAUGGAUAACCUGAUCCCGAGUCAGGUAAUGCCUCCUGGGGCAACACUUCCACAGCUGUGAUGAGAUACAUAUACGGCUUCAUAUAUAUAGCAGUGUAAGGUUCCACUGUCAUUUAUUGGCAAGUGCAAAUAAAUCUGUUUCUUUGGCCACAGGAGCACACAGGGCAGCUGGAGAGGCUGUAAAAUAACUCCUGUGCAGCCAGAUCCCAUGCAGUGAAUUCUCACAGCCCACACAGAGCUGUUUCCCAGUGACUUCUGUGCAGCCACAGGCAGCCAACAAGUUGCUGCACACCGCUGCACACUGCUAUACACUGCUGCACACUACAGCAUGAUGCUGCACACUGCUGCGUGCCUCUGCUACACUGCUAAACACCACUGCAUGCUGCUGCACACUGCUUCCAAACCAGGAACCAGCUGUGGAGCUCACAUCACUGCUGCAAAGCCAUGCUGGGCCAUGGGUGCAGGACUGAGCCCCACAGACUGCGUUUCACUGACUCACACGGUAACGUUUUUCUCUUUAACAUUUCCAGUAACAUUGCAACACAUUUCACAGAAUGCUAUUUAAGGUCAUGCCCUUGGCAGUUUGGUACUAAAACCUCACAACUGUAAUUUUCCACUACUAAGAGCAAAGCGAUUCGGGAAAGGCUGUGAUGCAGGCAGGGAAGGGGUUGGGAGCACGCAGGUGCUUCCAUGGGGGAAAUGCCAUUCCCAGCACACGGGAAGCACUCGGUGCCAGGCAGAACAUGCUGGUACCUGAGCAGGGCACUGCCAGGGCACAGAGAAAACUGGGGAAUGUUUCUAUGUUGGGAUGUAACUCUGAAUGGAAAAGGUCUUCCAGAAGUUGGCUCCAGGCCCUCAUCCUUCCUCAGGUGCCAUAAUAGAGUUUUACGAGGUUCCCAGGCAAAGCGCCAAUAACGGAACGCCGGUUCCAGCAGAGCUGUUGGACCAUUCCAUUCCGCCCUGAGCCACAGCCCGGCUGCUGCAGAGGAUCUGUUCCUGGAAGGCACUGUUGGCACACGCAGCACACGGCUCUGCUGGCCCUGCUGCUCUCACUGCAGCCCCCCAUCGCAAACUGCUCUAUCCACCGCGGGCUGUAACCUCUAUCAUCACAUCAACCUGAUUUUCUGCUAAUAGGAAAAUGAAAUGUGUCUUUCUGGCUCCAUUUUGCAAAAGACAAAGAACUAAGAGUGUGUGUGACGUGACAAAACCUCCAUCUAACCUUCUCCUCAGGCAUCAUUAGUAACAAAUGCAUAUUGGGUGGUUUCACAACGACCUUGAGAGCAAGUGACACAUCUCAUCUACCAGGGUGCAGUUCCCCAGGCUUUUUGGAAAAGGAAAUCCUUAUUUGUAUGAACUUAUUGGAGAAAAAAAAAAAAGCACUAUUGUGUGCAUGCAGAGUUUUUUCCAAAACACCCAACACAGAAAUGCCCGCUGGUUUUGGUAGCUUACCUGCAAGCACUGUAUUUACUGUGAGCAAAUGAGGAAGGAAUAAAAUUCAACUUCGACCUCCUUUCAAUUUGCAAGUUAUGAAAAAUGCUUCUAGAAGGGAGCUAAUAAACGUGAUGGAUGUGCUCAGUGGUAAUUGAUCAUUUAUUUUGAAAAAAUCCUGGCAAA
Molecule: RNA transcript, 5517 nt
Organism: Tympanuchus pallidicinctus (lesser prairie-chicken)
Lineage: Eukaryota; Metazoa; Chordata; Aves; Galliformes; Phasianidae
Gene: PWWP2B
Gene name: PWWP domain containing 2B
Exons: 4
Source: RefSeq, a predicted model, not a curated record